Myripristis murdjan (pinecone soldierfish) is the source of this 398-nucleotide long non-coding RNA. RefSeq lists it as uncharacterized. The record is from RefSeq and is a predicted model, not a curated record. The transcript has 3 exons. Lineage: Eukaryota; Metazoa; Chordata; Actinopteri; Holocentriformes; Holocentridae.
AAUGAAAACCUGCAGCCUCUUGGCCCUCCAUGGCACGAGUUUGACACCCCUGGCUUAAGCUUCUCUCUCCCUCUGCCACACAUUGGAGUGAGAAAGUCUUACCAUGAACUCAAGAGUCAGAACUAUCACCAGCCUCGUGAUCCUCUUUGGACACUCAAGGUUCAGAUGGUCCUCGAUGUUCUCCAGGUUGUUCUCCUUCUUCCUUGGCCUUCCAGAUAAACCCUGAAUAUCAAGAGAUCCAUUGCUGCUCCACCCUGAAGAGGAAUUGCUUAGAAAAUGAUGCAAGUGAUGUUGAUGCAGUACCUUUUCUCGACCAGUAGAGGGAGACAGAGCUCCACACAUGACUUUCCUCAGCGGCACACUUCCUCUCACCUCUCCAGCACACACUUGUUGAAGUA